Long non-coding RNA from Aegilops tauschii subsp. strangulata, 1956 nucleotides. RefSeq lists it as uncharacterized. Lineage: Eukaryota; Viridiplantae; Streptophyta; Magnoliopsida; Poales; Poaceae. The record is from RefSeq and is a predicted model, not a curated record.
AGAAAUUCUUCUUUACUGGUCCGUAAAAGGGAUUGGUCUCUCAAUAAAUAUUUUUAUUGAAAAACCAGUCGUGACAUAGGCAGUCCUUAAUAUUGCCAAGUAUUUUUGUGACAGGUCUCACGGUUAACAAAAUUCAGUUGGUAUUAAAAGGAAAAUGCAAAACAGUAAAGAAGAUAGAAAACGGAAAACAGAAAGAGAAAAAGGCCUAAAAAUUACUGUACAUCUAGGCUUAAGUAUGCACAGUACACAUUCGGCCCAGCCCAGCCGCACCUCUCCUUCUACCUCCGCUACAAGAGGCUGUGAGGUUACCCCUCAAUCUCCCUUGGUUCGAAUUCGAGCUUGUCAUCACGAUGACCUGUACCUUGUCAUCAUUGUUGCGGCCACCAGCGUCUCCCGUGUGCGGGAGCAAGUCCUGGAGGUCCGUCGCGCUCUACCACGUUCAUUUAGGGCAUUGAAGCAAGGAGGAGAGCUGUGUAGACGACGUCAUCGUCUUCUUCUUCGUCCGGCCAUAGCAAUCUCGCCAUCGUCGCCGUCUCUUCGGUCCACCCCGACCCUUCCCGAGGACGCCAACGGACUCGCGGUGAGCCCUCCUUCGGUUUGCCCUGUUUCCCCCUCGAAUCUGUCGUUGUAGUGCCCCCCUCCCCUUUGCAUCGGCGGUCAUGGCAGGGAGCUCGGCUCCAUCGCCGCGAGCCCCUGCCCGCGCCAGCCAUGCUCCCUCGGGGGCGGCCGCCCGGGCCCUCGAAAUCUAGGGGGCCCCCUCCGGCCAUGUCGCAUGUGAGAUUACCUAGCUACGCAGUGACAACGCCGUCCCCCGAAGCAGAUUUUUUUUAGGGAAAUCGCACGCAGCAGGAGGUAGCGGACGACGAUAACAGAGUACGUUCAUCGUGUUUUCUUCCUUGCACAAUCGCAGGGGCCGUAGUAAUUUUGUUUGAGAAUGAAUCGCAGGGGCGAGCGCACAGCCGCACGACAUCAUCCACCGUGAGAUACUGGGCCUGGCCCAGCUCGUGGGCAGCAUGACCAUCACUGCAGAAGCCCCCGGCAAGCGCACAACGCCCACGUCCCCUUUUUCCCAUCGUGGAUGCCUACAGCCCACACGAAAAUUAGUCGUGAAUCACGGCAACGCCAUCGCCGUCAUCAGGAUAUCGCCCAUGGCAGCGGCGACGGGGAAGGAGCACACCGGGAGGCUCCUCAUCAGAUUCCGGGCUUAGAAGAUGGUUCUAAUGCUUCAUCAAAGAACAAUCUUUUUUAUCGAGGACAUUUAUAAGGAAGCGCUGGAUGUGUUUAUGAUGGCUGAGACCUCGAGACUGACGAUGACGCCACCGAGUACGACUACACCCCAGACGUUCACCCACUUGCAGCAGAGCUUCUAGGCAAGCAAAAAAAAACUAUCAUUCCUCUGAGUUCACCUUGAUGGUAAGGACACACUGAUACCUUUAACUGUUACCCAAAUAACUGUUAUUGCGGGACUGAAGGGACAGGUGGGACAGCCCCGAUAGAGGUGGACCUGAGUUCCCUACUGUCUCUGGAUAAGUCAGGUUAACCAUGAGGGUACCCGCGAGAUAAUGACGAGGCACGACCGGUUAGGCAGAGACCGCCCCAGAGAGGGAUGGGCCUGGCCCUUAUCGUAAGUCCGCGAGACGGGGUGAUAGGAUCAUUGAUCGUUUCCGUGAGCUCCCAAUACACUAACGGGUUUGGAUAUGUGAUCUGAGUAGGCCUCUGGCCUUUUUGCACUAACCACCGCGCGGGAAUAAGUAUGGGCACUCGGCGUCGUACAAUUCUUCCGAAAGCUCAUUGACGUUAGCAGUUGAGUGGCGUGCGCCCUGUUGGAUGGUAACCACCACCGCUUGUUGAGGUGGGUCUGCUCCAUGUUGCGUUCGCAACACGCGGGAGUGCAAAGGACGAUUGGCCCAUGACCCCUUCGCACUUAGGAUUUAGACCGGCGUGUUGGCCUCUCUA